Molecule: transfer RNA, 76 nt
Filed under: Marmota marmota marmota (Alpine marmot)
Lineage: Eukaryota; Metazoa; Chordata; Mammalia; Rodentia; Sciuridae
Also listed under: 1 other name
Rfam family: tRNA
About the family: Transfer RNA (tRNA) molecules are approximately 80 nucleotides in length.
Source: Rfam by way of RNAcentral
GGGGAUAUAGCUCAAUGGUAGAGUUCUUGCCUAGCAUUUGUGAGGAAGCCCUUAGGUUCAAACUCUAAUAUUGCCC